GUGCAGCAUCACGACGCAGAUGCUCCAGUGCCUCGUCGGCCGAGUAUCCGACGACGACGCCGCGUGGCCGCUUGCAGGCGCGCAUGGCGCCGACCUUUGUCGUCGUACGCGCCCACGCGGUUGAUGGGGUCUCUUUCUUUUUUUCCCGCCCUUUGGUCUCUUUGUCUCUGCGUGGCGGCGGUGUCUGGUGGUCGACGAGAGGGCGUCGUCCAAGAGGAGGCGGUGGCGGCGUCCAAAAGAGGUCGAGCCAAAGGAUGACGACAGUGCACACGCAGCGGCGAGUUGCGGCGCGCGCGCGCGUCCCCGAGAAUAAAAAAAGAAUUUACCGAAA
Molecule: long non-coding RNA, 331 nt
Filed under: Pandoravirus dulcis
Description: putative ncRNA
Source: RNAcentral